UUGCCCGAUGAUUAUAAAAAAAGACGCUUUAAGAGGACUUAUGCUGGAGUUCUUUUCUUCUUUCUCUUUCUUUUCUAUACUACUAUUUCUUUCUUUGUAUGUCCAGCGUCCUAUGAGCGAAGAUUAUGAGAUAUGAGGGCAA
Molecule: small nucleolar RNA, 142 nt
Organism: Dipodomys ordii (Ord's kangaroo rat)
Lineage: Eukaryota; Metazoa; Chordata; Mammalia; Rodentia; Heteromyidae
Product: predicted gene, 23262
Source: Ensembl